CGCGGGAUAGAGCAGUUGGUAGCUCGCCAGGCUCAUUACCUGGAGGUCGUUCGUUCGAGUCGAACUCCCGCAA
Molecule: transfer RNA, 73 nt
Filed under: Bacteriophage sp.
Also listed under: 1 other name
Description: tRNA-Met
Rfam family: tRNA
About the family: Transfer RNA (tRNA) molecules are approximately 80 nucleotides in length.
Source: RNAcentral